CGUUUCCUGCGGUGUUCGAGCAGAGCUGACUGCUUUCGACCCUUAAAUGCACUUCAGGGAUCCGGCCAACCGGCAGCCUUGUGCAUGACCGCCACGAGCGGAAAGCCUGUCCUGCCACGGCCUGUCCCACCUUUCGCUCGGGUCCGAGGGCGACGGUUCGAUACGGCACAGGCGGGAACGCC
RNAcentral lists this non-coding RNA (182 nucleotides) under Gammaproteobacteria bacterium. RNAcentral's name for it is "6S RNA". It matches the Rfam family "6S / SsrS RNA". From Rfam's summary of the family: E. coli 6S RNA was the first non coding RNA to be sequenced, but its function was unknown until recently. Lineage: Bacteria; Pseudomonadati; Pseudomonadota; Gammaproteobacteria. The record is from RNAcentral.